This 463-nucleotide ribosomal RNA is filed under the name Iodamoeba sp. RL1. RNAcentral's name for it is "SSU rRNA". It matches the Rfam family "Eukaryotic small subunit ribosomal RNA", at positions 1115 to 1548 of the family's 1831-position model. Lineage: Eukaryota; Evosea; Mastigamoebida; Endamoebidae. The record is from RNAcentral.
CGGGGGGAGUAUGGUCGCAAGGCUGAAACUUAAAGGAAUUGACGGGAGGGCACACCAGGAGUGGAGCCUGCGGCUUAAUUUGACUCAACACGGGGAAACUUACCAGGGCCAGAUAGUAGGAGGAUUGACAGAUUGAGAGCUCUUUCUUGAUUUGCUAGGUGGUGGUGCAUGGUCGUUCUUAGUUGGUGGUGUGAAUUGUCUGGUUAAUUCCGAUAACGAACGAGACCUUAACUUAUUAAAUAAAUUGGGUGAAGGAUUUCCUCACGCAGCUGCUUUCGGGUGGUUGUUGUGGGGGUCAAAAACUUUACACUAAUUUCUUAAAAGGACUAUUUAUGUUUAUUACAACUAAUAGAUGGAAGUUUGAGGCAAUAACAGGUCUGUGAUGCCCUUCGAUGCUCUGGGCCGCACGCGCGCUACAAUGAUGAAUUCAAUGAGUAUUAAAGACACACGCAGGGUGCAUCUG